Molecule: microRNA precursor, 337 nt
Filed under: Gossypium hirsutum (cotton)
Lineage: Eukaryota; Viridiplantae; Streptophyta; Magnoliopsida; Malvales; Malvaceae
Description: miR7512 stem-loop (ghr-MIR7512)
Source: miRBase by way of RNAcentral
AUGCCAGUUUUUCACUCAUGCAUGGAUGCUUUUCAGUUAACAUGUAGAACUACAAGCAGCAACCACCAUGCUUCAGCAUAAAUAUGGUAGAUGGUGACUUAAGAUAACGGUUCAAUGCUUAUGAAUGAGACUUUCCUCUGUGUCUCUGUGUGUAUGUAUGAGUGCGAAAUUGAGAGAGAGAAACAGAGAAGUCCAAUGAUGGCGAGUUAGAUAAUGCCAGUUUUCCAGUCAUGCAUGGAUGCCUUCCCAAGGGUGCGAAAGCGAAAAGUUGUUGAACUAUCUGAAAUCCUGCUGAUGCAUGGUGGUUGCUACUUGUAGUUAUGCAUGUUAACCAAAA